AUUGAACGCUGGCGGCAGGCUUAACACAUGCAAGUCGAACGAUGAAACCUAGCUUGCUAGGUGGAUUAGUGGCGGACGGGUGAGUACAACUUAGGAAUCUACCUAUUAGCGGGGGAUAGCUCGGGGAAACUCGAAUUAAUACCGCAUACUCCUUACGAGGGAAAGGGGCCUGACCACUAAAUUUAAUUUAUAGUGUAUUUUAUUUACAAUAAUAUAAUUAAGUUAAAUUUAGUGGUCAGGUCUCACUAAUAGAUGAGCCUAAGCAAGAUUAGCUAGUUGGUGGGGUAAAAGCCUACCAAGGCGACGAUCUUUAGCUGGUCUGAGAGGAUGAUCAGCCACACUGGGACUGAGACACGGCCCAGACUCCUACGGGAGGCAGCAGUGGGGAAUAUUGGACAAUGGGGGAAACCCUGAUCCAGCCAUGCCGCGUGUGUGAAGAAGGCCUUUUGGUUGUAAAGCACUUUAAGUAGUGAGGAAAAGCUAGAUGUUAAUACCAUCUAGCCCUGACGUUAACUGCAGAAUAAGCACCGGCUAACUCUGUGCCAGCAGCCGCGGUAAUACAGAGGGUGCAAGCGUUAAUCGGAAUUACUGGGCGUGAAGAGAACGUAGGUGGUCAAUUAAGUCAAAUGUGAAAUCCCUGAGCUCAACUUAGGAACUGCAUUUGAUACUGGUUGACUAGAGUAGGUGAGAGGAGAGUAGAAUUCCAGGUGUAGCGGUGAAAUGCGUAGAUAUCUGGAGGAAUACCGAUGGCGAAGGCAGCUCUCUGGCAUCAUACUGACACUGAGGUUCGAAAGCGUGGGUAGCAAACGGG
RNAcentral lists this ribosomal RNA (811 nucleotides) under uncultured bacterium. RNAcentral's name for it is "bacterial SSU rRNA". It matches the Rfam family "Bacterial small subunit ribosomal RNA", at positions 28 to 776 of the family's 1533-position model. The record is from RNAcentral.